This 492-nucleotide ribosomal RNA is filed under the name uncultured bacterium. Its description in RNAcentral is "partial 16S ribosomal RNA". It matches the Rfam family "Bacterial small subunit ribosomal RNA", at positions 29 to 507 of the family's 1533-position model. The record is from RNAcentral.
AGUGAACGCUGGCGGUAGGCCUAACACAUGCAAGUCGAACGGCAGCACAGUAAGAGCUUGCUCUUACGGGUGGCGAGUGGCGGACGGGUGAGGAAUACAUCGGAAUCUACUUUUUCGUGGGGGAUAACGUAGGGAAACUUACGCUAAUACCGCAUACGACCUACGGGUGAAAGCAGGGGAUCUUCGGACCUUGCGCGAUUGAAUUAGCCGAUGUCGGAUUAGCUAGUUGGCGGGGUAAAGGCCCACCAAGGCGACGAUCCGUAGCUGGUCUGAGAGGAUGAUCAGCCACACUGGAACUGAGACACGGUCCAGACUCCUACGGGAGGCAGCAGUGGGGAAUAUUGGACAAUGGGCGCAAGCCUGAUCCAGCCAUACCGCGUGGGUGAAGAAGGCCUUCGGGUCGUAAAGCCCUUUUGUUGGGAAAGAAAAGCAGCAGGUUAAUACCCCGCUGUUCUGACGGUACCCAAAGAAUAAGCACCGGCUAACUUCGUG